RNAcentral lists this long non-coding RNA (232 nucleotides) under Homo sapiens (human). RNAcentral's name for it is "non-protein coding lnc-C21orf62-4:3". Lineage: Eukaryota; Metazoa; Chordata; Mammalia; Primates; Hominidae. The record is from RNAcentral.
GGAAAAGACACCAAGCACACUCAGAGCCUGCACCAGUACACCUGCCUGGCAGUGGGUGUGGAAGAGCCAAAACUGCAAUCAAGACCCCUACCCCCACCGGCCAGGUUCUCAGCGCCCACUGGUCUACGUUCCAGCCUCCUGGAGUCCCUCUGAGUGUGUCUGUGGCUGCAGCUGGACCCAGUUUUGAAUUCUUUUCAAGUUUCAUUUCAAAUGGGAUUUCAGAAUAAAAACG